GACGAACGCUGGCGGCGUGCUUAACACAUGCAAGUCGAACGGCAACGCCCGAGCUUGCAGGGGUAGACGAGUGGCGAACGGGUGAGUAAUACGUCGGGGAACGGCCUCGCACUGCGGGAUAAGCGUGGGAAACUGGGUUUAUUACCGGUACGAACCGCGGAGGGAGGGGGUGGUGCAAAGGUCUUCGGGGUGGGAUGGUGGCGCGGCGUCUCAGCUUGUGGGGGGGGUAUUGGCGUCCCAAGGCGGCGAGCGGUAGCCGACCUGAGAGGGGAGACGGCCACAUUAGGACUGAGACACGGCCCAGACUCCAACGGGAGGCAGCGGUGGAGAGUAUUACACAGUAGGCGGGAGGCUGAUGCGACGACGCCGCGUGGGGGAUGACGGCCUGCCCGUAGUGAACUCCUUUCCCCUUCGACGAACGGUUUCUGACGGUAGAUGGAGAAGAAGCACCGGCUAACUACGUG
This 464-nucleotide ribosomal RNA is filed under the name uncultured bacterium. Its description in RNAcentral is "partial 16S ribosomal RNA". It matches the Rfam family "Bacterial small subunit ribosomal RNA", at positions 28 to 507 of the family's 1533-position model. The record is from RNAcentral.